CUAGAAGAAAAGCCCCUAUCCUUAACAAAAUUAAGUGAAUACUUAAAAUAGUAGUAAUUUUAUUUCUAUCUUUUCA
Molecule: antisense RNA, 76 nt
Filed under: Medicago truncatula (barrel medic)
Lineage: Eukaryota; Viridiplantae; Streptophyta; Magnoliopsida; Fabales; Fabaceae
Description: lncRNA gene37250
Rfam family: Antisense RNA which regulates isiA expression
Source: Rfam by way of RNAcentral